This 496-nucleotide ribosomal RNA is filed under the name uncultured bacterium. RNAcentral describes it as "partial 16S ribosomal RNA". It matches the Rfam family "Bacterial small subunit ribosomal RNA", at positions 28 to 506 of the family's 1533-position model. The record is from RNAcentral.
GAUGAACGCUGGCGGCGUGCCUAAUACAUGCAAGUCGAGCGAACGGACGAGAAGCUUGCUUCUCUGAUGUUAGCGGCGGACGGGUGAGUAACACGUGGAUAACCUACCUAUAAGACUGGGAUAACUUCGGGAAACCGGAGCUAAUACCGGAUAAUAUUUUGAACCGCAUGGUUCAAAAGUGAAAGACGGUCUUGCUGUCACUUAUAGAUGGAUCCGCGCUGCAUUAGCUAGUUGGUAAGGUAACGGCUUACCAAGGCAACGAGGCAUAGCCGACCUGAGGGGGGGGAGGGCACACGAGGAAGGGACCAACCACCCAGACUCCUAGGGGCGGCAGAGGUGGGGACUUUUCGGAAAAGGGGGAAAGCCUGCGGAAGCAGCGGCGGGGUGGUGAAGAAGGUCCUCGGGCCGUAAAACUCUGUUAUUGGGGAAAACCAUUUUUUAAAGUAACGUGGCCAGUUUGGACGUAACUUAUAAAGAAAGCCCGGGCAAACACGGU